GUCAGAUUGAUGGUGAAAUAAUUACCCUAUGCGCUUUAUUCCACUGAUUCUAAUAUGAUGGAAAGCCAUUUUACAAUAGCUUUUGUGGUUUUCAAUCUGAAAUAUCU
Molecule: small nucleolar RNA, 107 nt
Organism: Phragmites australis (common reed)
Lineage: Eukaryota; Viridiplantae; Streptophyta; Magnoliopsida; Poales; Poaceae
Product: small nucleolar RNA Z194
Exons: 1
Source: RefSeq, a predicted model, not a curated record